Molecule: ribosomal RNA, 1343 nt
Filed under: uncultured bacterium
Lineage: Bacteria
Description: 16S ribosomal RNA
Rfam family: Bacterial small subunit ribosomal RNA
Source: RNAcentral
GACGAACGCUGGCGGCGUGCUUAACACAUGCAAGUCGAACGGAAAGGCCCUGCUUUUGUGGGGUGCUCGAGUGGCGAACGGGUGAGUAACACGUGAGUAACCUGCCCUUGACUUUGGGAUAACUUCAGGAAACUGGGGCUAAUACCGGAUAGGAGCUCCUGCUGCAUGGUGGGGGUUGGAAAGUUUCGGCGGUUGGGGAUGGACUCGCGGCUUAUCAGCUUGUUGGUGGGGUAGUGGCUUACCAAGGCUUUGACGGGUAGCCGGCCUGAGAGGGUGACCGGCCACAUUGGGACUGAGAUACGGCCCAGACUCCUACGGGAGGCAGCAGUGGGGAAUAUUGCACAAUGGGCGGAAGCCUGAUGCAGCAACGCCGCGUGCGGGAUGACGGCCUUCGGGUUGUAAACCGCUUUCGCCUGUGACGAAGCGUGAGUGACGGUAAUGGGUAAAGAAGCACCGGCUAACUACGUGCCAGCAGCCGCGGUGAUACGUAGGGUGCGAGCGUUGUCCGGAUUUAUUGGGCGUAAAGGGCUCGUAGGUGGUUGAUCGCGUCGGAAGUGUAAUCUUGGGGCUUAACCCUGAGCGUGCUUUCGAUACGGGUUGACUUGAGGAAGGUAGGGGAGAAUGGAAUUCCUGGUGGAGCGGUGGAAUGCGCAGAUAUCAGGAGGAACACCAGUGGCGAAGGCGGUUCUCUGGGCCUUUCCUGACGCUGAGGAGCGAAAGCGUGGGGAGCGAACAGGCUUAGAUACCCUGGUAGUCCACGCUGUAAACGGUGGGUACUAGGUGUGGGGUCCAUUCCACGGGUUCCGUGCCGUAGCUAGCGCUUUAAGUACCCCGCCUGGGGAGUACGGCCGCAAGGCUAAAACUCAAAGGAAUUGACGGGGCCCCGCACAAGCGGCGGAGCAUGCGGAUUAAUUCGAUGCAACGCGUAGAACCUUACCUGGGUUUGACAUGGAUCGGGAGCGCUCAGAGAUGGGUGUGCCUCUUUUGGGGUCGGUUCACAGGUGGUGCAUGGCUGUCGUCAGCUCGUGUCGUGAGAUGUUGGGUUAAGUCCCGCAACGAGCGCAACCCUUGUUCACUGUUGCCAGCACGUUAUGGUGGGGACUCAGUGGAGACCGCCGGGGUCAACUCGGAGGAAGGUGGGGAUGACGUCAAGUCAUCAUGCCCCUUAUGUCCAGGGCUUCACGCAUGCUACAAUGGCUGGUACAGAGAGUGGCGAGCCUGUGAGGGUGAGCGAAUCUCGGAAAGCCGGUCUCAGUUCGGAUUGGGGUCUGCAACUCGACCUCAUGAAGUCGGAGUCGCUAGUAAUCGCAGAUCAGCAACGCUGCGGUGAAUACGUUCCCGGG